Molecule: ribosomal RNA, 253 nt
Filed under: uncultured bacterium
Lineage: Bacteria
Description: partial 16S ribosomal RNA
Rfam family: Bacterial small subunit ribosomal RNA
Source: RNAcentral
GACAGAGGGUGCGAACGUUGCUCGGAAUUACUGGGCGUAAAGCGCGUGUAGGCGGGCUGGAAAGUUGGGGGUGAAAUCCCGAGGCUCAACCUCGGAACUGCCUCCAAAACUUCCAGCCUGGACUCAAGCAGAGGCAAGUGGAAUUGCGAGUGUAGAGGUGAAAUUCGUAGAUAUUCGCAGGAACACCAGUGGCGAAGGCGACUUGCUGGGCUUGUGGUGACGCUGAGACGCGAAAGCGUGGGGAGCAAACAGG